Gossypium arboreum is the source of this 506-nucleotide long non-coding RNA. RefSeq lists it as uncharacterized. The transcript is spliced from 2 exons. NCBI's taxonomy places the organism in Eukaryota, Viridiplantae, Streptophyta, Magnoliopsida, Malvales, Malvaceae. The record is from RefSeq and is a predicted model, not a curated record.
GCUGUGAACCUCUUCCAAUUUUUCCCAAGUUGCUCCAUCUGAAGUUGUAUUGUGAUUAUCACAAUUUUGAAAGGGGAGUUGCAAAUUUACUGACAGAUUCGAGUAGACUACAAUCACUUUUCUUUUAUCAGGAAGCUCUCACCAAUCUCCCAGAAAAAGUGCCUCACUGUAUAUUGUAUCAACUCAAGGUGAUUGAAAUUUCAGGGUUUAUGACUAACAAAGAUUGUAUUGGAAAGGCAAAGUAUUUCCUAGAGAACGCAACAGUAGUAAUGAAGUUGAUCAUACCUACAGUACCAUUUCUUUCAGAAGAACAAAAAUCGAGAAUCUACCAACAGUUGAUGGCUUCUCCAAGUAAAUCAAAGCAAUGCUGCAUCUUGGUUGUUUGAUAUCCUUUGUAUUUCCUUGGAAACAUUUUCAAGUCUUAAUUCUAGUGCAAGGGAAUGUAGUUUAAUACUUUCAUGAUCAAAUGCCAAAUCGAAGUUUGCAAAAGCAAAUUUAUUGAGAUA